Molecule: unclassified non-coding RNA, 198 nt
Filed under: uncultured fungus
Lineage: Eukaryota; Fungi
Description: sequence contains ITS1
Source: RNAcentral
UUAACUAUUUGCUUUUCACUUCAGGCUGCAAUGUUGUUCAGGGUUUGAUGUCCGGCCGGCGUGCCGCGCUGUCAAGCGGGCGCGCCUGAGGCCGACGGGUUUGUAAAAUUUCGGGGGCUAAGCAAAGGGUGGGGGCGGGCGCCGAAGCGCCCAACCUGGGUCCCAGUAAUGAUCCUUCCGCAGGUUCACCUACGGAAA